GAAUUUUGGACAAUGGGCGAAAGCCUGAUCCAGCAAUGCCGCGUGCAGGAUGAAGGCCUUCGGGUUGUAAACUGCUUUUGUACGGAACGAAAAGCUUUGGGUUAAUUCCCUGGAGGCAUGACGGUACCGUAAGUAUAAGCACCGGCUAACUACGUGCCAGCGGCCGCGGUAAUACGUAGGGUGCAAGCGUUAAUAGGAAUUACUGGGCGUAAAGCGUGCGCAGGCGGUUUUGGAAGACAGAGGUUAAAUCCCCGGGCUCAACCUGGGAACUGCCUUUGUGACAGAAAGCGGAGAGGAAGGAAGAGGGGGGGGGAAGGAGGAGGGGAGAAGUGACAUGCGUAGAUAGGCGGAGCAGGAGCGAUGGCGAAGGCAACCCCCUGGGCCUGUACUGACGCUCAUGCACGAAAGCGUGGGGAGCAAACA
This 423-nucleotide ribosomal RNA is filed under the name uncultured bacterium. RNAcentral's name for it is "partial 16S ribosomal RNA". It matches the Rfam family "Bacterial small subunit ribosomal RNA", at positions 359 to 774 of the family's 1533-position model. The record is from RNAcentral.